GGACACCCAAUGGGGUGUCCCUUCCAUGUCCCUUGGGUGUCUCUUCCAUGUCCCUUGGGUGUCUCUUCCAUGUCCCUUUGGUGUCUCUUCCCUGUCUUUUGGGUGUCCUUUGGGUGUCCCUUGAGUGCCGGAGACCGAAUUUACCAAAACCUUCAUUGACAGCUGCACCUGGCUAAUUAUUAACCACCAAGCGUCCCCUUGGUGGCAGAAUGCUCAGUCAGGAUGCAGUGGAGGGUCGAGCACAUGAUACGG
This 252-nucleotide long non-coding RNA is filed under the name Volvox carteri. RNAcentral's name for it is "long non-coding RNA (VCAR_LNC002398)". Lineage: Eukaryota; Viridiplantae; Chlorophyta; Chlorophyceae; Chlamydomonadales; Volvocaceae. The record is from RNAcentral.